CAGUAGCCACGGUAAUACGUAGGGCGCAAGCGUUAUCCGGAAUUAUUGGGCGUAAAGAGCUCGUAGGCGGUUUGUCGCGUCUGCCGUGAAAGUCCGGGGCUCAACCCCGGAUCUGCGGUGGGUACGGGCAGACUAGAGUGAUGUAGGGGAGACUGGAAUUCCUGGUGUAGCGGUGAAAUGCGCAGAUAUCAGGAGGAACACCGAUGGCGAAGGCAGGUCUCUGGGCAUUAACUGACGCUGAGGAGCGAAAGCAUGGGGAGCGAACAGGAUUAGAUACCCCGGUAGUUCCUGUCUCUUAUAC
Molecule: ribosomal RNA, 301 nt
Filed under: uncultured bacterium
Lineage: Bacteria
Description: partial 16S ribosomal RNA
Rfam family: Bacterial small subunit ribosomal RNA
Source: RNAcentral